Juglans regia (Persian walnut) is the source of this 539-nucleotide long non-coding RNA. RefSeq lists it as uncharacterized. The record is from RefSeq and is a predicted model, not a curated record. Lineage: Eukaryota; Viridiplantae; Streptophyta; Magnoliopsida; Fagales; Juglandaceae. The transcript is spliced from 2 exons.
UCUCUGCAAUAUUACUUUACACCUAUUAACCCUAAUACUCUCUCUCUCUUUUCUUUUUCUUUUUUUGUUUGAAAUGAAAUGAACUCUCUCUCUCUUCUCCUGAACUCUCUUCUCCAAAUCCACUUUCCCUCCUUACAGCGUUCGCCUGCUACCGAGCCAUCGCCUCCUCGCCCAACUAGUUGCCCCAUCAUCGCUCACGACCUCCUCCACUCGGUCUCUAUUUCAGCAAGCUAUCUCCUUCUCUCCUUACACUCUCUGUAUGGUAUUUCUCUCACUCACCCUUCUCUAUCGAUGUCUCAUGUGCCUGUGUUUGUUUCUCUAUCGGUUUUGCCUUUCUCUCCCUCAUUCCAUCUCUAUCUCUCUAUGUUUUUUGCUAUCUAUAUUUAGCUAACUUUUUUUGUUCAUUUGCAGGUGAAAGGUAAAGUCAUUUAAAGCCAGAAAUUUCGAUACUAGUUUAAAUUGAUUGUGAAUAUGUUUCGAAUUGUAGUGCUUUAUCUACAUUAAGGCCUUUUUUAUGCUAAAUGAUGGGUUUUGAUCAA